Molecule: long non-coding RNA, 399 nt
Filed under: Phascolarctos cinereus (koala)
Lineage: Eukaryota; Metazoa; Chordata; Mammalia; Diprotodontia; Phascolarctidae
Description: lncRNA (ENSPCIG00000036626.1)
Source: RNAcentral
CUGGCAGCCAUAGGAGAUGAUGGAAAAAAGCUGUUUACUUUUAGAGAAAGCCCCUAAUCCUUCUUUCCUACUGCUGGGAAGUCUAGACCAGUGCUGAGCCCAGAGCUGAGACAGCAGACCUGGGGAAAGACUUGAAGAAUAGGAGGAAGGGAAGAGAGAAAGAAGAAAAAUAAGCCACCAUUUCCACUUGGAUCAUUAGACAUCAGCAAGACUUAUGUGUAUGUGUGGUCCACAGAAGUGAAGUAACUUUUCUACAGUCACCAGGAACCUCAUUUAGUUUUCUGGAGAGGAACUCAAAGAUGAGGCGGCAUCUUUCAGCACCCGACUUCCUGAACCUGUCAACCAACAAAGAUCGACUUUAAGAAUAAACUUCUGAGAGCAGCUAAGGCUCUGGAGUAU